This is an RNA transcript of Otolemur garnettii (small-eared galago), 3424 nucleotides long. It is a transcript of the gene named wings apart-like protein homolog pseudogene, with no coding region annotated. The record is from RefSeq and is a predicted model, not a curated record. Lineage: Eukaryota; Metazoa; Chordata; Mammalia; Primates; Galagidae. The transcript has a single exon.
GAAACAGGUGUCAAAAUGACAUCCAGAUUUAAGGAAGCAUACAGUAGAAGAGGAGGAAAUGGCUGUUCAAAGUCUGAUGAAGUCUUCUCCAACAAACGGACCACCCUUAGCACAAAAUGGGGAGAGACCACAUUUAUGGCUAAAUUAGGGCAAAAGAGGCCCAAUUUCAAAUCAGAUAUCCAAGAAAUUCCAAAAAAACCUAAAGUGAAAGAAGAAAAUACGGGAGAUCCUUUUGGAUUCGAUAGUGAUGAUGCGUCUCUACCAGUUUCUUCAAAGAAUUUAGCCCAGGGUAAGGGUUCCUCUUAUUCAGAAUCUUGUAUAGCUGCUCAGCAGGAAGGAGUCACCUCAGUACUUAAAGCUAAUAGCCAAACUAGUCAGUCGGUGGGUGAAGACAGUGAUGUCUCUGAUAAAUGCUUACCUUUGGAGGAGACUUUGCUUGGGAAAGAAGAGAGCACAAACAGAACCUUAGAAGAUGAUGCAAACAUAAGUAGCCGUGCUAAGUUAAUGACUUCAGUUAAGGUGGAGAAUUUGCACGAAGAAUAUGAAAAGAAGAGCCACUAUAGUCUCAGAAAUGCUGAAGACAGCGCUGAGAAACCCAAGGCAGAAACUACAGUGGCCUCUGGAUAUAAAACUGAUGAAAUCAAGGAAACAAAUGAUACUUGGAACUCCCAGUUUGGGGAAAGGUUUGAAUCACCAUCAGAAAUAUCUCCAGUCAAGGGAUCUGUGAGAACCGGUCUGUAUGUAUGGGAUAAUGAUUUUGAAGAUAUCAAAUCAGAAGAUUGUAUUUUAAGUUUGGAUAAUGAUCCCCUUUUGGAGAUGAAGGAUGAGGAUUUUAAAAGUCGAUUGGAAAAUCUAAAUGAAGCCACUGCAGAAAACAUUGUGCAAAGGCUUCUUAGGCCAAGCAACUGUAGGACGUAUUGUAGGGCGAAUAAAGCAAAAUCUGCACAGGGAGCAUCACAUUUGGGUAAGCUAAUGGAUGGCACCAGUCAGGCCUUAGCCAAAGCGAACAGUGAAUCAAGUAAAGAUGGCCUGAAUCAGGCAAAAAAAGGCGGUGUAAGUUGUGGGACCAGUUUUAGAAGGACGGUUGGACAGACCAGAGACUACACUCUUUUACAUCCAUCUUGCUUGUCAGUUCGUAAUGUUACUCUACAGGAUACUAUGGAAGGAAGCCUGGAUGAGUUCUCUGCAGCCGCUCCUGCAGAUUUGGGAAAAGCUGGUCGGCUCAGCAAAAAGGCAGAUAUUGCAACUUCUAAGACCACUACUAGAGUUCGACCUAGUAAUGCUAAAUCCAAAAAGGAUGUUAAACUGGAAUUUUUUGGUUUUGAAGAUCAUGAUGCAGAAGGUUCUGGAAGUUCUAAUUACAAAAUUAAAUAUUUUGGCUUUGAUGAUCUCAGUGAAAAUGAAGAUGAUGAAGAUGAUGACUGUCCAAUGAAAAGAAAGACAAGCAAAAAAAGAACUAAAACAGCUCCAUCACCCUCCUUGCAACCUCCUCCAAAAAAUAAUGAUAAUCCCCGGGGCAGUCGGUCUAGUACUAAUAAGGCACAAAACUUCGAUUUUACAGAAGACUUGCCUGCUGUGCCUGAAAGUUUGGAGAAGCCCAUAAAUAAACAAAGAGACAAAUCAAAAGAAAAUACCAGAAAGAUUUUUAGUGGCCCCAAAUGGUCACCUACAAAAGCUGUAUAUAAUGCCAGACAUUGGAACCAUCCAGAUUCAGAAGAACUGCCUGGACCACCAGUACUAAAACCUCAGAGUGUCACAUUAUAUACCAUCGUUCAGCAUGUGAAGCAAUUCAAUGACGUGGUGGAAUUUGGGGAAAAUCAAGAGUUCACUGAUGACAUUGAAUAUUUGUUAAGUGGCUUAAAGAGCACUCAGCCUCUGAACACACGUUGCCUGAGUGUUAUUAGCUUGGCUACUAAGUGUGCCAUGCCCAGUUUCCGACUGCACCUGAGGGCACGUGGAAUGGUAGCAAUGGUCUUUAAAACCUUGGAUGAUUCUCAGCACCAUCAGAAUCUUUCCCUCUGUACAGCUGCCCUUAUGUACAUACUGAGUAGAGAUCGCCUGAACAUGGAUCUUGAUAGAGCUAGCUUAGAUCUGAUGAUUCAACUUUUAGAACUGGAGCGAGAUGCUUCGCCAGCUAAGCUACUGAAUGAAAAAGACAUGAACAAAAUUAAAGAAAAAGUCCGAAGACUCUGUGAAACUGUGCACAACAAGCAUCUUGAUCUAGAAAACAUAACGACUGGGCAUUUAGCGAUGGAGACGUUAUUGUCCCUCACGUCCAAACGAGCAGGAGACUGGUUUAAAGAAGAACUGCGGCUUUUGGGUGGUCUGAAUCAUAUUGUAGAUAAAGUGAAAGAAUGUGUGGAUCACUUAAGUAGGCAUGAGGAUGAAGAGAAACUAGUGGCUGCCCUAUGGGGAGCAGAGAGAUGUUUACGAGUUUUAGAAAAUGUAACAGAGCAUAAUCCAGAGAAUCAAAGCUACUUGAUAGCAUAUAAAGAUUCGCAACUCAUUGUCUCGUCAGCUAAAGCAUUACGACAUUGUGAAGAACUGAUUCAGCAGCGUAACUGUGCUGAAGACAGCAUAUGCUUAGGGGACAGUAAACCUCUGCCUAACCAUGUGGGCAAAGCAGUGGAGGACUGCAUGAGGGCCAUCUUUGGGGGGUUGCUUAAUUUAACUAAUGAUAAUGAGUGGGGCAGCACCAAGACUGGAGAACAGGAUGGCCUCAUCGGCACCGCAAUGAACUGUGUGCUUCAGCUUCCCAAGUACCUACCUCAGGGGCAGAGAUUUGAUAUUCGAGUGCUGGGCCUAUGUCUCCUGAUAAAUCUAGUGGAGCGGAGCGCUCGGAAUCGGCACUGUCUCGUCAACAUGGAAACAUCGUGUUCUUUUGAUUCUUCCUUCUACAGUGGAGAAGAAAAGGAUAGUCUGAGGAUACCUGGACCAGUUCACGCUGUUCAGGCUUUAGUGCAGCUAUUUCUUGAGCGGCAGAGAGCAGCACAGUUGGCAGAAAGUAAAACAGAUGAGCUGAUCAAAGAUGCUCCCGCCACUGCGCAUGAUAAGAGUGGAGAGUGGCAAGAAACCAGUGGCGAAAUACAGUGGGUGUCAACUGAACAAACGGAUGGCACAGAAGAGAUACGUAAGAAGGAGGAAGAGGGUGAAGAACUUGACCUCAAUACAGCCCUUCAGCAGGCUGACAAAGACAUGGAAGAUUACAUCCUGGCCUCCUACACGGCACUACUCCUCGGGUGUCUCUGCCAGCAAAGUCCCAUCAGUGUGACCACCGUGCGGAAAUAUCUGCCGGGAGGAGACUUUUCAAUAAUGACAGAGAUGCUCCGAAAGUUCUUGAGCUUCAUGAAUCUGACUCGUGCUGUUGGAACAACAGGCCAGAAGUCCAUCUCUAGAGUGAUUGAAUAUUUGGAACAUUGCUAGC